Molecule: ribosomal RNA, 468 nt
Filed under: uncultured bacterium
Lineage: Bacteria
Description: partial 16S ribosomal RNA
Rfam family: Bacterial small subunit ribosomal RNA
Source: RNAcentral
GACGAACGCUGGCGGCGCGCCUAACACAUGCAAGUCGAACGGAGCUGCGAGAAGCUUGCUUUUCUUAGCUUAGUGGCGAACGGGUGAGUAACGCGUGAGUAACCUGCCCUGGAGUGGGGGACAACAGUUGGAAACGACUGCUAAUACCGCAUAAGCCCACGAUCCGGCAUCGGAUUGAGGGAAAAGGAUUUAUUCGCUUCAGGAUGGACUCGCGUCCAAUUAGCUAGUUGGUGAGGUAACGGCCCACCAAGGCGACGAUUGGUAGCCGGACUGAGAGGUUGAACGGCCACAUUGGGGCUGAGACACGGCCCAGACUCCUACGGGAGGCAGCAGUGGGGGAUAUUGCACAAUGGGGGAAACCCUGAUGCAGCGACGCCGCGUGGAGGAAGAAGGUUUUCGGAUUGUAAACUCCUGUCGUUAGGGACGAUAAUGACGGUACCUAACAAGAAAGCACCGGCUAACUACGUG